GAUGACAGCCAAUCAUUUGUUAAUUUUAAUUAUUAUUCUAUAAUAUUUUUAUAAGUUUUUAGAGUAUUGCAUGGUCAAAGAGAAGAAUUUACGAAGAAAUUAGCACAUAAAAGAGUUUGAAGACAAAAGACCAAAGAAGAAAAAGACUUAGAAAAUAUUUCAAGAUUUUGAGCUCAUUCAAGGCUUGCACUUCUGUUUUUAUCGCGCCCCA
RNAcentral lists this long non-coding RNA (211 nucleotides) under Trifolium pratense (red clover). RNAcentral's name for it is "long non-coding RNA (TPRA_LNC007509)". Lineage: Eukaryota; Viridiplantae; Streptophyta; Magnoliopsida; Fabales; Fabaceae. The record is from RNAcentral.